Molecule: ribosomal RNA, 405 nt
Filed under: uncultured bacterium
Lineage: Bacteria
Description: partial 16S ribosomal RNA
Rfam family: Bacterial small subunit ribosomal RNA
Source: RNAcentral
AUUGAACGCUGGCGGCAGGCUUAACACAUGCAAGUCGAACGCGUGGCGGACGGGUGAAUAAUGCUUGGGAAUCUCGGUUAUGUAGGGAGAUAACUACGGGAAAAUGUAGCUAAUACUGCUAACCAUAGGAUCAGCACACGUGGGUGUAGGGAGUGGGUGAGGUAAAGGCUCACCAAGCCGACGAUCUCUAGCUGGUCUGAGAGGCUGACCAGCCACACUGGGACUGAGACACGGCCAAGACUCCUACGGGAGGCAGCAGUAGGGAAUCUUGCGCAAUGGGGGAAACCUGACGCAGCCAUGCCGCGUGAAUGAAGAAGGUCUUCGGGUUGUAAAGUUCUUUCGGUAGCGAGGCGUUAACUAAAGAGGAAGCAACGGCUAACUACGUGCCAGCAGCCGCGGUAAUAC